Molecule: long non-coding RNA, 447 nt
Organism: Hylaeus volcanicus
Lineage: Eukaryota; Metazoa; Arthropoda; Insecta; Hymenoptera; Colletidae
Exons: 3
Source: RefSeq, a predicted model, not a curated record
CUUGUCGCAUAUCCAGGGAGAUCCCAUUUUAAGAGGAUCUCGCGGUAACAGGUGUCCGAAACAAUCAUCGGAUGCACAAAAGAGCGCUCCUAAUCUAGUUCCGAAUUCCUAGCAUUAUGAUCGGUGCAUCUGUUGCACUCGCAGGAGAAGUGUUUGGUGAGGCUCAAGAAAGGUCUUCGCAGCGUCGUAUCCCAAAAUAAACUGGUAUAGGACAUGGUGAGCUCCUCUCCAGCAGAAAUUGGAAGCGCAGCGUUAACGUACAGCCUCUGUUCAUCGUCGAAGUGGUGUCUCGUAUUUGAGAUAUGUCAAGAAAUAUGUAUCCGUUGGCUAAGUCCCACCCCAUCCCUUGGACUCAAUGGAAAUUUGGGGAAAGUGAAAGGAAGCAGGGAAGAAAUGGAAAGAUACCAAACCACUUAAUGUAAAUGAUCAAGAAUUGGACGGUGAAAG